AACGGGUGAGUAACACGUGGGUGCUGCCCAUGACUUUGGGAUAAGCCUGGGAAACUGGGUCUAAUACCGGAUAUGACCAUGAUGCAUGUUCUGUGGUGGAAAGCUUUUGCGGUUGGGGAUGGGCCCGCGGCCUAUCAGCGUUGGUGGGGUAAUGGCCUACCAAGGCGACGACGGGUAGCCGACCUGAGAGGGUGAUCCCACACUGGGACUGAGACACGGCCCAGACUCCUACGGGAGGCAGCAGUGGGGAAUAUUACAAUGGGCGCAAGCCUGAUGCAGCGACGCCGCGUGAGGGAUGACGGCCUUCGGGUUGAACCUCUUUCAGUAGGGACGAAGCUUCGGUGACGGUACCUGCAGAAGAAGCACCGGCCCUACGUGCCAGCAGCCGCGGUAAUACGUAGGGUGCGAGCGUUGUCCGGAAUUACUGGGUAAAGAGCUCGUAGGCGGUUUGUCGCGUCGUCUGUGAAAUUCUGCAACUCAAUUGCAGGUGCAGGCGAUACGGGCAGACUUGAGUACUACAGGGGAGACUGGAACUCCUGGUGUAGGUGAAAUGCGCAGAUAUCAGGAGGAACACCGGUGGCGAAGGCGGGUCUCUGGGUAGUAUGACGCUGAGGAGCGAAAGCGUGGGUAGCGAACAGGAUUAGAUACCCUGGUAGUCCACCGUAAACGGUGGGUACUAGGUGUGGGUUCCAUUUCACGGGAUCCGUGCCGUAGCUAAC
RNAcentral lists this ribosomal RNA (719 nucleotides) under uncultured bacterium. RNAcentral describes it as "bacterial SSU rRNA". It matches the Rfam family "Bacterial small subunit ribosomal RNA", at positions 101 to 856 of the family's 1533-position model. The record is from RNAcentral.